AUUGAACGCUGGCGGCAUGCCUUACACAUGCAAGUCGAACGGCAGCACGGGAGCAAUCCUGGUGGCGAGUGGCGAACGGGUGAGUAAUACAUCGGAACGUGCCCAGUAGUGGGGGAUAACCCGGCGAAAGCCGGACUAAUACCGCAUACGACCUACGGGUGAAAGCAGGGGAUCGCAAGACCUUGCGCUAUUGGAGCGGCCGAUGUCAGAUUAGCUUGUGGUGGGGUAAAGCCUACCAAGGCAACGAUCUGUAGCUGGUCUGAGAGGACGACCAGCCACACUGGGACUGAGACACGGCCCAGACUCCUACGGAGGCAGCAGUGGGAAUUUUGGACAAUGGGCGCAAGCCUGAUCCAGCCAUGCCGCGUGCGGGAAGAAGGCC
RNAcentral lists this ribosomal RNA (382 nucleotides) under uncultured bacterium. RNAcentral's name for it is "bacterial SSU rRNA". It matches the Rfam family "Bacterial small subunit ribosomal RNA", at positions 29 to 416 of the family's 1533-position model. The record is from RNAcentral.